UACGUAGGGUGCAAGCGUUGUCCGGAAUUAUUGGGCGUAAAGAGCUCGUAGGCGGCUUGUCGCGUCGUCCGUGAAAACCUGCAGCUCAACUGCAGGCUUGCGGUCGAUACGGGCAGGCUAGAGUUCGGUAGGGGAGACUGGAAUUCCUGGUGUAGCGGUGAAAUGCGCAGAUAUCAGGAGGAACACCGGUGGCGAAGGUGGGUCUCUGGGCCGAUACUGACGCUGAGGAGCGAAAGCGUGGGGAGCGAACAGG
RNAcentral lists this ribosomal RNA (253 nucleotides) under uncultured bacterium. RNAcentral describes it as "partial 16S ribosomal RNA". It matches the Rfam family "Bacterial small subunit ribosomal RNA", at positions 524 to 776 of the family's 1533-position model. The record is from RNAcentral.